This 2899-nucleotide ribosomal RNA is filed under the name Escherichia coli. RNAcentral describes it as "23S ribosomal RNA". It matches the Rfam family "Bacterial large subunit ribosomal RNA". Lineage: Bacteria; Pseudomonadati; Pseudomonadota; Gammaproteobacteria; Enterobacterales; Enterobacteriaceae. The record is from RNAcentral.
UUAAGCGACUAAGCGUACACGGUGGAUGCCCUGGCAGUCAGAGGCGAUGAAGGACGUGCUAAUCUGCGAUAAGCGUCGGUAAGGUGAUAUGAACCGUUAUAACCGGCGAUUUCCGAAUGGGGAAACCCAGUGUGAUUCGUCACACUAUCAUUAACUGAAUCCAUAGGUUAAUGAGGCGAACCGGGGGAACUGAAACAUCUAAGUACCCCGAGGAAAAGAAAUCAACCGAGAUUCCCCCAGUAGCGGCGAGCGAACGGGGAGCAGCCCAGAGCCUGAAUCAGUGUGUGUGUUAGUGGAAGCGUCUGGAAAGGCGCGCGAUACAGGGUGACAGCCCCGUACACAAAAAUGCACAUGCUGUGAGCUCGAUGAGUAGGGCGGGACACGUGGUAUCCUGUCUGAAUAUGGGGGGACCAUCCUCCAAGGCUAAAUACUCCUGACUGACCGAUAGUGAACCAGUACCGUGAGGGAAAGGCGAAAAGAACCCCGGCGAGGGGAGUGAAAAAGAACCUGAAACCGUGUACGUACAAGCAGUGGGAGCACGCUUAGGCGUGUGACUGCGUACCUUUUGUAUAAUGGGUCAGCGACUUAUAUUCUGUAGCAAGGUUAACCGAAUAGGGGAGCCGAAGGGAAACCGAGUCUUAACUGGGCGUUAAGUUGCAGGGUAUAGACCCGAAACCCGGUGAUCUAGCCAUGGGCAGGUUGAAGGUUGGGUAACACUAACUGGAGGACCGAACCGACUAAUGUUGAAAAAUUAGCGGAUGACUUGUGGCUGGGGGUGAAAGGCCAAUCAAACCGGGAGAUAGCUGGUUCUCCCCGAAAGCUAUUUAGGUAGCGCCUCGUGAAUUCAUCUCCGGGGGUAGAGCACUGUUUCGGCAAGGGGGUCAUCCCGACUUACCAACCCGAUGCAAACUGCGAAUACCGGAGAAUGUUAUCACGGGAGACACACGGCGGGUGCUAACGUCCGUCGUGAAGAGGGAAACAACCCAGACCGCCAGCUAAGGUCCCAAAGUCAUGGUUAAGUGGGAAACGAUGUGGGAAGGCCCAGACAGCCAGGAUGUUGGCUUAGAAGCAGCCAUCAUUUAAAGAAAGCGUAAUAGCUCACUGGUCGAGUCGGCCUGCGCGGAAGAUGUAACGGGGCUAAACCAUGCACCGAAGCUGCGGCAGCGACACUAUGUGUUGUUGGGUAGGGGAGCGUUCUGUAAGCCUGUGAAGGUGUACUGUGAGGUAUGCUGGAGGUAUCAGAAGUGCGAAUGCUGACAUAAGUAACGAUAAAGCGGGUGAAAAGCCCGCUCGCCGGAAGACCAAGGGUUCCUGUCCAACGUUAAUCGGGGCAGGGUGAGUCGACCCCUAAGGCGAGGCCGAAAGGCGUAGUCGAUGGGAAACAGGUUAAUAUUCCUGUACUUGGUGUUACUGCGAAGGGGGACGGAGAAGGCUAUGUUGGCCGGGCGACGGUUGUCCCGGUUUAAGCGUGUAGGCUGGUUUUCCAGGCAAAUCCGGAAAAUCAAGGCUGAGGCGUGAUGACGAGGCACUACGGUGCUGAAGCAACAAAUGCCCUGCUUCCAGGAAAAGCCUCUAAGCAUCAGGUAACAUCAAAUCGUACCCCAAACCGACACAGGUGGUCAGGUAGAGAAUACCAAGGCGCUUGAGAGAACUCGGGUGAAGGAACUAGGCAAAAUGGUGCCGUAACUUCGGGAGAAGGCACGCUGAUAUGUAGGUGAAGUCCCUCGCGGAUGGAGCUGAAAUCAGUCGAAGAUACCAGCUGGCUGCAACUGUUUAUUAAAAACACAGCACUGUGCAAACACGAAAGUGGACGUAUACGGUGUGACGCCUGCCCGGUGCCGGAAGGUUAAUUGAUGGGGUCAGCGCAAGCGAAGCUCUUGAUCGAAGCCCCGGUAAACGGCGGCCGUAACUAUAACGGUCCUAAGGUAGCGAAAUUCCUUGUCGGGUAAGUUCCGACCUGCACGAAUGGCGUAAUGAUGGCCAGGCUGUCUCCACCCGAGACUCAGUGAAAUUGAACUCGCUGUGAAGAUGCAGUGUACCCGCGGCAAGACGGAAAGACCCCGUGAACCUUUACUAUAGCUUGACACUGAACAUUGAGCCUUGAUGUGUAGGAUAGGUGGGAGGCUUUGAAGUGUGGACGCCAGUCUGCAUGGAGCCGACCUUGAAAUACCACCCUUUAAUGUUUGAUGUUCUAACGUUGACCCGUAAUCCGGGUUGCGGACAGUGUCUGGUGGGUAGUUUGACUGGGGCGGUCUCCUCCUAAAGAGUAACGGAGGAGCACGAAGGUUGGCUAAUCCUGGUCGGACAUCAGGAGGUUAGUGCAAUGGCAUAAGCCAGCUUGACUGCGAGCGUGACGGCGCGAGCAGGUGCGAAAGCAGGUCAUAGUGAUCCGGUGGUUCUGAAUGGAAGGGCCAUCGCUCAACGGAUAAAAGGUACUCCGGGGAUAACAGGCUGAUACCGCCCAAGAGUUCAUAUCGACGGCGGUGUUUGGCACCUCGAUGUCGGCUCAUCACAUCCUGGGGCUGAAGUAGGUCCCAAGGGUAUGGCUGUUCGCCAUUUAAAGUGGUACGCGAGCUGGGUUUAGAACGUCGUGAGACAGUUCGGUCCCUAUCUGCCGUGGGCGCUGGAGAACUGAGGGGGGCUGCUCCUAGUACGAGAGGACCGGAGUGGACGCAUCACUGGUGUUCGGGUUGUCAUGCCAAUGGCACUGCCCGGUAGCUAAAUGCGGAAGAGAUAAGUGCUGAAAGCAUCUAAGCACGAAACUUGCCCCGAGAUGAGUUCUCCCUGACUCCUUGAGAGUCCUGAAGGAACGUUGAAGACGACGACGUUGAUAGGCCGGGUGUGUAAGCGCAGCGAUGCGUUGAGCUAACCGGUACUAAUGAACCGUGAGGCUUAACCU